GGCGGACGGGUGAGUAACGCGUGGGUAACCUGCCUUGUACUGGGGGACAACAGUUGGAAACGACUGCUAAUACCGCAUAAGCGCACAGCUUCGCAUGAAGCAGUGUGAAAAACUCCGGUGGUACAAGAUGGACCCGCGUCUGAUUAGCUGGUUGGUGAGGUAACGGCCCACCAAGGCAACGAUCAGUAGCCGGCCUGAGAGGGUGAACGGCCACAUUGGGACUGAGACACGGCCCAAACUCCUACGGGAGGCAGCAGUGGGGAAUAUUGCACAAUGGGGGAAACCCUGAUGCAGCAACGCCGCGUGAGUGAAGAAGUAUUUCGGUAUGUAAAGCUCUAUCAGCAGGAAAGAAAAUGACGGUACCUGACUAAGAAGCCCCGGCUAACUACGUGCCAGCAGCCGCGGUAAUACGUAGGGGGCAAGCGUUAUCCGGACUUACUGGGUGUAAAGGGAGCGUAGACGGUUUUGCAAGUCUGAAGUGAAAGCCCGGGGCUUAACCCCGGGACUGCUUUGGAAACUGUAGAACUAGAGUGCAGGAGAGGUAAGUGGAAUUCCUAGUGUAGCGGUGAAAUGCGUAGAUAUUAGGAGGAACACCAGUGGCGAAGGCGGCUUACUGGACUGUAACUGACGUUGAGGCUCGAAAGCGUGGGGAGCAAACAGGAUUAGAUACCCUGGUAGUCCACGCCGUAAACGAUGAUUACUAGGUGUUG
RNAcentral lists this ribosomal RNA (710 nucleotides) under uncultured bacterium. RNAcentral describes it as "bacterial SSU rRNA". It matches the Rfam family "Bacterial small subunit ribosomal RNA", at positions 97 to 825 of the family's 1533-position model. The record is from RNAcentral.